Molecule: ribosomal RNA, 304 nt
Filed under: uncultured temperate forest soil bacterium C6012
Lineage: Bacteria; Pseudomonadati; Acidobacteriota
Description: bacterial SSU rRNA
Rfam family: Bacterial small subunit ribosomal RNA
Source: RNAcentral
AGUGGGGAAUUUUGCGCAAUGGGGGAAACCCUUACGCAGCAACGCCGCGUGAAGGAUAAAGUCUUUCGGAAGGUAAACUCCUUUCGAUCGGGACGAUUAUGCCGGUACCGGAAGAAGAAGCCCCGGCUAACUUCGUGCCAGCAGCCGCGGUAAUACAAGGGGGGCGAGCGUUGUUCGGAAUUAUUGGGCGUAAAGGGUGCGUAGGCGGUUUGGUAAGUCUUAUGUGAAAUCUUUGGGCUCAACCCAAAGUCUGCACGAGAAACUGCCGGGCUUGAGUAUGGGAGAGGUGAGUGGAAUUUCCGGU